Molecule: long non-coding RNA, 398 nt
Filed under: Medicago truncatula (barrel medic)
Lineage: Eukaryota; Viridiplantae; Streptophyta; Magnoliopsida; Fabales; Fabaceae
Description: long non-coding RNA (MTRU_LNC008116)
Source: RNAcentral
AAACAAUCUGAAGGGUUCCUUCUUGAAUAUGAUCGCUUACUUGAGGAGAACCAAAACCUCCGCAACCAGCUACAAUCUGUUGACAGAAGAUUCUCACAUUCAGUUUCCAAGAAGAAUAUGUGAGAAACAUUUAAGGCGGCUUCUUCUCUUCUAUACUUUUCGGGAUUUCCAUAGCAGCUUACUAGUAACAGGUUAUCAAUCCUUGUAAACAUGCUUCUCAUGAAUAGGAGUUUUACUUCAGAGUUAAAUUUGCACCAAUACUUUUCGGGAUUUCCAUAGCAGCUUGCUAGUAACAGGUUAUCAAUCCUUGUAAACAUGCUUCUCAUGAAAUAGGAGUUUUACUUCAGAGUUAAAUUUGGACCAAUUUUGUCCUAACAAAGUGUGAAUUUUUUUUUUUU